This 657-nucleotide ribosomal RNA is filed under the name Escherichia coli. RNAcentral describes it as "partial 23S ribosomal RNA". It matches the Rfam family "Bacterial large subunit ribosomal RNA", at positions 532 to 1191 of the family's 2925-position model. Lineage: Bacteria; Pseudomonadati; Pseudomonadota; Gammaproteobacteria; Enterobacterales; Enterobacteriaceae. The record is from RNAcentral.
AGGGGAGUGAAAAAGAACCUGAAACCGUGUACGUACAAGCAGUGGGAGCCUCUUUAUGGGGUGACUGCGUACCUUUUGUAUAAUGGGUCAGCGACUUAUAUUCUGUAGCAAGGUUAACCGAAUAGGGGAGCCGAAGGGAAACCGAGUCUUAACUGGGCGUUAAGUUGCAGGGUAUAGACCCGAAACCCGGUGAUCUAGCCAUGGGCAGGUUGAAGGUUGGGUAACACUAACUGGAGGACCGAACCGACUAAUGUUGAAAAAUUAGCGGAUGACUUGUGGCUGGGGGUGAAAGGCCAAUCAAACCGGGAGAUAGCUGGUUCUCCCCGAAAGCUAUUUAGGUAGCGCCUCGUGAAUUCAUCUCCGGGGGUAGAGCACUGUUUCGGCAAGGGGGUCAUCCCGACUUACCAACCCGAUGCAAACUGCGAAUACCGGAGAAUGUUAUCACGGGAGACACACGGCGGGUGCUAACGUCCGUCGUGAAGAGGGAAACAACCCAGACCGCCAGCUAAGGUCCCAAAGUCAUGGUUAAGUGGGAAACGAUGUGGGAAGGCCCAGACAGCCAGGAUGUUGGCUUAGAAGCAGCCAUCAUUUAAAGAAAGCGUAAUAGCUCACUGGUCGAGUCGGCCUGCGCGGAAGAUGUAACGGGGCUAAACCAUG